CCAUGAGAAAAGAUUUUUUCUACAUCCUCUGUUAAGCAUACCCAAGUACCUUUUGAGAGAAUUAGAGAUCCUACUAUGUGUGCAAGGUGGAGGAAGAAUUUACGUCUACUAGCUCAUCAUGAAUAAAUUCUUUAGAUCCUAUGGCUCGUUGCUCCUCAGAGACACUCUCUUAGAGCUAGACUUUCCUCCCACUAUUUUAACUUGGUUAAACAAUUUUUUAAGAAGAUAGCAUGUCGGAUCACAAUUACAUUAUAAUCUUUUCAGAAAGUAAUAUCCCAAACUCUUUUAGGAUGAGCUUUAUAGAUCUAUCCUCUAACAUAUCCACCUACUGUCCUAGACUGAAUAUCUUUGAAUCUCAAAAUAAUCAAGAUUCAGUUCUCACCAUACCAUAUCUCAUACGGUGUAGUAGAAACAGGUUUAGAGAGAACCUAAUUUCAU
Molecule: long non-coding RNA, 438 nt
Filed under: Elaeis guineensis (African oil palm)
Lineage: Eukaryota; Viridiplantae; Streptophyta; Magnoliopsida; Arecales; Arecaceae
Description: long non-coding RNA (EGUI_LNC050226)
Source: RNAcentral